UGAAGGUUAACCAUCAAUAUUUGAAUAAUAAAGCAAAAAGUUGAAAGCUCGACAGAGAAAGGAGCAAAACAUUGUUUCUUUUUUCCUUUUACUCUUCAAUGAAGCUCCUUCUUUUAUAGAUGUUAUUAUUUUUUUACCAAUUUCAUCGUUAAUAUUCUAAAUUAGGGAUUCUCGGCCAAUUCAUAUUUUCUUUCUCUUUUAAUUAUUUCUGAUUUUUGACAAAGACAAACCGAUUAUACUACCAUUCUCUUACUUCCUUCCUUGAAUUCUCAAAGUCACUCCAAUGAUGUUACUUGUAAUGUGUUUCGCACUCUCACGCCGCUCCUCUCUGUCUUUAAAGCCUGAAACUGAAAAAACUUGAGCCAUUGAGGAGAGAUUUUUCACAACUACGGGGCUAUGUUGCAGAUGAACAAGUUUUAUUUUCAAGAAAAGGGAAAGCUUAAGAUUAUUCUUUCGGGGCUACUUCAUUGCUUGUCGUUCUUGCCUCCUAAUAAGGAAAAGGAUGCCUCAGCUGAAAAAGUAGCUCCUUAUUUUCUGAUUGUCAUCUAUGUUGUUAUAAUUAUAAUCUUACUAAAUUCAUAAAGAUAUUGGUAAGAAUGCCGAUUUCUGGCAAGUAAACAAAUUAACUUUUGUAUGUAAAUUAGAUUUUCAUCACCUUUGAUCCAACAAUAACUUGAGAUUUUCCUUUUAGAUAAUCUAACCUGAUUUUGUUAUGGUUUUUAAUGUUCUUUCUUUCAAAGAUUUGUAGUAUAAACCCAAAAUUUGUAUUAUUGCUUUCUUUGGAAGAAGAUUCUUCAAGGACUGGACAUACAUAAGUAGAACCUAUUUUGAUUUUCAUA
This is a long non-coding RNA of Cannabis sativa, 839 nucleotides long. RefSeq lists it as uncharacterized. The transcript has 3 exons. The record is from RefSeq and is a predicted model, not a curated record. NCBI's taxonomy places the organism in Eukaryota, Viridiplantae, Streptophyta, Magnoliopsida, Rosales, Cannabaceae.